AGUCUGGUGCCAGCAGCCGCGGUAAUUCCAGCUUCAGUAGCGUAUAUUAAAGUUGUUGCAGUUAAAAAGCUCGUAGUCGCAUUUCUGGCGAGAGGAUCCGGUCCGACCUUUUGGUGGGUUCUUGGGUCUCUUUCGCCAUCCUUGAGUGGUCCGUUCUGGCAUUAGGUUGUCGGAGCGUCAGCCGCUCAUCGUUUACUGUGAGAAAAUUAGAGUGUUCAAAGCAGGCUUAUGCCGUUGAAUAUAUUAGCAUGGAAUAAUAAGAUAGGACCUCGGUACUAUUUUGUUGGUUUGCACACCAAGGUAAUGAUGAACAGGGACAGUUGGGGGUAUUUGUAUUUCGUUGUCAGAGGUGAAAUUCUUAGAUUUACGAAAGACAAACUACUGCGAAAGCAUUUACCAAGGAUGUUUUCAUUGAUCAAGAACGAAAGUAUGGGGAUCGAAGAUGAUUAGAUACCAUCGUAGUCUAUACCAUAAACUAUGCCGACUCAGGAUGGGCGGGUGUUAUUUUGACCUCGUCUGCACUGUAUGAGAAAUCAAAGUCUUUGGGUUCCGGGGGGAGUAUGGUCGCAAGGCUGAAACUUAAAGAAAUUGACGGAAGGGCACCACCAGGAGUGGAACCUGCGGCUUAAUUUGACCCAACACGGGAAAACUUAUCAGGUCCAGACAUAGUGAGGAUUGACAGAUUGAGAGCUCUUUCUUGAUUCUAUGGGUGGUGGUGCAUGGCCGUUCUUAGUUGGUGGAGUGAUUUGUCUGGUUAAUUCCGUUAACGAACGAGACCGCAGCCUGCUAAAUAAUCACAGUAAUGAUUUUUCAUUGCUGAUGGUUUCUUAGAGGGACAUGUAGUAUAAAACUACAGGAAGAUUGCGGCAAUAACAGGUCUGUGAUGCCCUUAGAUGUUCUGAACCGCACGCGUGUUACACUGAUGUAUUCAACGAGCAUAUAACCUUAGCCGAGAGGCUUGGGCAAUCUUGUUAACCUACAUCGUGAUAGGGAUAGAUUAUUGCAAUUAUUAAUCUUGAACGAGGAAUUCCUAGUAAACGCACAUCAUCAAUGUGCAUUGAUUACGUCCCUGCCCUUUGUACACACCGCCCGUCGCACCUACCGAUUGAGUGGUCCGGUGAAUUCUCGGGAUUGUGGUUGAUUUCUUUUAUUAGGAUUCGACUGCGAGAACUUGUGUAAACCUUAUCACUU
RNAcentral lists this ribosomal RNA (1191 nucleotides) under metagenome. RNAcentral's name for it is "SSU rRNA". It matches the Rfam family "Eukaryotic small subunit ribosomal RNA", at positions 558 to 1774 of the family's 1831-position model. The record is from RNAcentral.